Non-coding RNA from Lactuca sativa (garden lettuce), 2458 nucleotides. The record is from RefSeq and is a predicted model, not a curated record. Lineage: Eukaryota; Viridiplantae; Streptophyta; Magnoliopsida; Asterales; Asteraceae.
CCCUGGCUUCGAGCCGUCAGAUGGUGCGUCUCCCCUGUCAUUUAAGGGACUCACCUUCAUGAAAUAGAACUCGGCAUUCUUAAGGUUUUAGAAAAUAAAGAGAUCGAGAAAAUGAUUCUCUCAGAUAUUUUCUGCAGAUGUGCUUUUUUGUCAAAUUUCCUGUAUGGUUCGUAUGUUACAAGGUUGAAAGAAGAAAAAUUUCUUUCUUCUCCAAAGUUGGUCAGUACAUGUUAGAAAUGCUGAGUCAUGCUGUUUCAGUGAUUGAAAAACGUUCCAGUGAUAUUUAGUGUGGUAGUCAUGGCUUAAAUACUGGCUUUUAUUGAUUUAAAGGGAUUAAGAAGAACAAAUUUAUGUAGUUCCAUCAUGAUGAAGGUUGGUUUGCACGCUCUAAUUAAGAAGAACAAAUUUCUGUAGAACAGCUAGAGCUUCUGCGGAUGGGUGCAACAUUGCCCUAAUUUCCCCAAAAGAAUCAUCAAAGUUUUCUUCUUUCUGCAAAUCAUUUUCGAGAAUAUUUUUUUUUCUGUUUUUUUUUUCAUUUCUUACUAACUCGGUUACACAAUGAAUUAAUUGUUUUCUUCUAUUCCCUUUUAUUUUUUCCCACUGGUCUAUAAAACCUGAACACAGAACCUUCUACAAAUUAUAAAUGUGCAUUAUAUUUUAAGAAAUGAUUUGUGUAUUUCGAUUCUUUUAUUGCCACAAUCUAUAGUUCUUCAAACCUCACACGACGAAGAAGAUUGCAAAUAUACUUUUAUAACAAAAAAUGAAACCAUUUAUCAAAUAAGUAGUUUGUGUUUGUGCGUGAGAUUGAGAAUGAGUUGGAGCAGUAUCUAAGUUUUAACAUCUGUCCUACUCUUCUUCUAAAUCUCGCUUUCAUGGACAGACUUUCCCUCCUUCAGCCUUACCUUCAUAUAUAAAUAUUCAUCGUUAUAUCUCUUUGUUAAUUCAUAUUUGUGUUUGGUAAGCAAAAUUCCAGCUGUCUACACCAGCAAUUACAUUCGCUUCUCCAUAUUUAUGCAACUCAGUAUCUUCCAUCUUCAUGAUUUUCUCCCGGUCUUUUUCUACUUAAAUUCUAUCGACAUGGAUUUCUUUGGAGCUUUGUAGUUCAUGAAUUUGCCCCAAUUUUGAACACAAAUCACGUAAGUGAAUGUGUUGGAAUUGGAAUUGGCUAGCAUAUUUCGCGGAUUGUUGGUGAUUAGUCAUAAUCUUUGGGACCUGAGAAACGAAGGCAGAUGAUUUUCUUCUUCAGAAGAGGAUCAAUACCAUCAACUUUUGGGGCGAAGAGAGGAUUUCCCGCUUCACAUGUUGGUUUCUCUGUUAUCGUACCUGGUGUUUGGGUUCCUUCCACAGGUUGUAUCUGGGUUUUCAUUCCGUGAGAGCAACGACAAAAUCAGGGCUACCUCCUAAACAUGUUGAAAAUCAGGGCUACUUCCUAAACAUGUUGAGAGGUUUGUAUUUGCGGUUCAAGGUUUGGUGAUUCUCACUAAUGUUUCAGGAAUUUGCCAAACACUGAUGGUAGACUCGUUUGCUUACCUACCUCCUAACUCAAAGCAUCACUUUGAGAGUUAUGAAUCUUCUACACUUGUUGUAUUUGAAAAAAGGUAUGCUUACCUAGAAGAUCAUAUUACCGAGCCAAUUGUUGGCUCCACCAAUUAGCAGCCACUUCUUGAUACCCCUGGAGACGUAUUCCAACUGAGGAAGCUUCUUCCUAUAUCUCUGCCUUACAACAUCAACGUUCAUGCAGAUCAUGGACUUCCAACCUGGCAAAUUUCUUAAUGUAAAAGAAGUCAUAAUCAACAUGGUUUGUUACUUCUAGAAGGACAAGGCAUUUAUUGUCUGGGUGAUAGCUGACUGAAGACGUCACUGCCCUCUUGAGUCUCAAGAAAAUGCAAAACCCUGCAGUGACACUGUUACCUUUAGGUUUACCAAUCCAAUCUACAUGUCACAUUCCCUAGUAACUAAUUCACUAGGAUCCAUCAAAGGCUCUAUCUUUCUGCUGAAGAGAACCGUCCCCUUUGAUUACUGAUAAAUUGAUGGUCAUUCAUAUUUUCUUUAUCUAUCCCCUCAAAAUGAAUUGUAUCUCAAUUAUUGCAGUUUCAAACUGAGAAGAAGCAUUCAGAUUGUCUGGAUGUCUUAAGUGAGACACACAACAGAGCCUCAGAUCAAAAGAUCCAGAUUGGUGCUGAUCCAGGUGAUGGUUACACAAAGCACAUUUUUAGAGGCUAGAUGCAAAUGUGCAUCCUUAGUUCAGUCCUUGAUAAGUGCCUAAGGCUGCUUGGUUUUGAGUCGGCAGCACCUUGCGAUACCUCUUGCAAACUCAGCUAUCUUCUGCUUGUGGGUGGCUUGUAAUUUCAAGUGAUGGAGUCUGGGAUGCUCUUUGCACUGAAUCAGCUCUGGAAUGCAGUCGCGGAUUGGCUCUGGAAUCAGCAGUAGGACAAAUUGUCAAAGUACGGAAACAAAA